GGCUCAGGAUGAACGCUAGCGGCAGGCUUAACACAUGCAAGUCGAGGGGCAGCAUGACACGGAGAUUCGUCGAAGUGUUGAUGGCGACCGGCGCAAGGGUGCGUAACGCGUGAGCAACUUGCCCGUUUCUGGGGAAUAACCGGUGGAAACGCCGACUAAUACCCCAUAGUAUAACGAAGAGGCAUCUUUUUGUUAUUAAAGAACUUCGGAAACGGAUAGGCUCGCGUGACAUUAGCUAGAUGGCGGGUAACGGCCACCAUGGCGACGAUGUCUAGGGGUUCUGAGAGGAAGGUCCCCCACACUGGAACUGAGACACGGUCCAGACUCCUACGGGAGGCAGCAGUGAGGAAUAUUGGUCAAUGGUCUGACGACUGAACCAGCCAUGCCGCGUGAAGGUGACGGCCCUAUGGGUCUUAAACUUCUUUUGUAAGGGAGCAAUAAGUCUCACGUGUGGGAUGAUGAGAGUACCUUACGAAUAAGCAUCGGCUAACUCCGUG
This 497-nucleotide ribosomal RNA is filed under the name uncultured bacterium. RNAcentral describes it as "bacterial SSU rRNA". It matches the Rfam family "Bacterial small subunit ribosomal RNA", at positions 21 to 507 of the family's 1533-position model. The record is from RNAcentral.